AUUUUCAGUUCUGUAGUGCGAGAGUGUUAGCGCUAGAACUUUUGUUAGAAUUAUCCAGAUAUGUUACCUCUGACAUUAUAUUGGAUAGAAUUAUUCCAUAUAUGCUUUAUUUUGUGUCUGAUUCGUUUCCCCGAGUUCGCGGAGAAACAAUAUCGACAGUAACCAGAUGUUUAGCCAAUAUUAGAAAUAUUCCUAGAAGUGAUGGUAAUGUUUUUCCAGAAUACAUUUUUCCUAAUCUG
Long non-coding RNA from Patella vulgata (common limpet), 239 nucleotides. RefSeq lists it as uncharacterized. The record is from RefSeq and is a predicted model, not a curated record. The transcript has 3 exons. Lineage: Eukaryota; Metazoa; Mollusca; Gastropoda; Patellidae.